GUCAUCUAGGUUUGGAGGAUUAGGCAAAUGUUACGUGAAAAGCUCUGUACUUCUCAUCUCUUUCUGUCCAAGCUUCUCAUCUCCUUCUUCCAUGGUGUAUUUCUAGCUUCUCAUCCCUUAUGUUAUCCUGCAGCUAUCCUUUUUACUAUUUCAUUGCAAAUUCCAGCUGAUUGUAAUUCAAUUUAGUGAAUCAAUAUAGCCAGUUGGUUUGGUCGAUAUUUGGUUUAUUACACUGGUGCUUUCAUCCAGAGGUCUUCAAUGAAAGACCAAAUAUUUCUAACUACUGAUGAUUCAAUUAAGGUCGUGAAGGAUUCGUAGUCAAAGGAUAUCGCUGAAAUUCGUUCAUUGUUACAUGAGUUUGUUGAAAACCUUGCAAUGAGUAAGCCUACUCCAUUGGAAUUCCGACGACUUAGCGGCGAGGAUCCAGAGUUAUGGAUUUCUCAGGCUGAACGCUACUUUGAAUUCUAUGCAUAUCAGAAAAUAACAAAUUAUUACGCAUGUCUAUUUAUCUCGAAGGUGAGGCAUUGGAUUGGUUCCGAUGGCUUCUCCGGAACAAGCAAUUGAAGGGAACACUUUGUCGCAAAGGUGCGAAUUCUUUUUCGUAAGCAGCAUCUCUAAUCGCUGGAAGGUCACAUGGCUACAAUCAAGGAAUAUUCUACUGAAAUUGAAGCCCAGGUGUUCGAUAAUAUGCUACAUAGAUGUUGUUGUUCUAAGGUCUUUGCUACCGAGCGAUCAGAUAUUGAAGUCCUUACUGAUACAAUGAAAUCUGCUUUAAAGAAUACAAAAUCAGAGGAGGUCCAGGUGUUUGAUGAAGGCUCUCAGGGAAAUGGCAACACGCACCAGUCUCACUCUAAGACCUUGAAAACCAAGGUUACUACUGAGGUUCUAGUUAAUCAGAUCGGUAUUUCUUCAAACUCUAUUCCUUCUUGUUUAACUCGUUACAAUUGUAAUGUGACUAAACUACUAGAAUCUAAAAAUAAAGAGGAGAAAAAUACAAAGGAUAAUGUAGCGGUAUUAGAAAUUUCUCCUCUAACGGAUAUAACUAGUUAUCAAAUUCCUUUCGCUAGACAAGGAUAUGUCAUGUCGAAUGCUAUUAGAAAAUUUUCUGGGAUAACAUUUCCAUUUGCUAGUGCUAAUCAAAAUAUAUUGUUCCAUUACCACGAUGUUAACCUACACAAAUACAAUUGGGUUGAUACUGGACAGGAGAGGAGAUUUCAUGGUUUAUUGUCUGUAACAUAUGAACCUACUAUGGCGGAGAAUAUACAGGGAUUACUCCGUACAUUUGCUGAAAGUUACUCCAAGCAGUCCCCAAAUAUUCAGGCCCAUAAAGCUGUUAGACUGUCGCUUGCGAUGUGUGGUCUAGUUUAUAAGACAAAGUCUACUCCGCCAAAUUUUCAUUUGUUCUUAGUUUUGGUUUUUUCACCACAUUUGUUGGCGCUGAAAGAUAUUAUUCAGUCAUGGUUGUGGAUGAUUUCAAGAAGAUUAUUAGGAUAUUAGAGUGUCAUGUUGAUUCCAUAUCCAAUGAUCUAUGCUUUUUGAAUCAAUUCCCAUUGGAUCCUGGUGUGAAUUUGUUCAUGGUAACCCCCAACGGACGCCCCCUGGUUGUUCGAUUGCAACCUAGGACAUCUAUACACACUCUCUUACUUGUGAAGCUUUAUACAUUCCGGACUUUUUGGGUAUUAUCCUACAUUCGUCGCACUAUUGGCAUAAUUCACAAAGACAUUAAUGAUCAUAAUCUUUUGGUGGAUUUCCAUGCUCCUCUGGUUAAUUUAUGUGACUGGGACAUGCUAAAGCUUUGGUUGAAAGACAACUAAAUAUUUCUCACAUAUGCUCUCAGUAUUAUAGAGCGACAGAGAUUAUAUUUGGAGCAACAAAGUACACUACUGUGAUUGGCAUUUGGUCUGCUAGUAGUGUCCUUGUGGGAAUGAAUGUUAAUGAAGAGAUGGUUAAGCUUUGGCCUCUUAUGGACUUAGCAAUCUUGGAUUACUGUGCUUUGUCUAUGUUGAGUGAAGAGCAAAUUUUCUUUGACCGGAGGAGUUGCUGCUGUGGUGGAAUUGAGAAUAAUAUGCCUAGCUGCAACCAAAAUGUCCUUUUUCCUAACUUUUCUAUUUCACCUUGUAGAAAUAUUAAGUUUCAUCAUGCAAAAAUAACUGAUUGUUAUUUACUAGUUCAAGCUCAACAGCCUGUGAUGAAUCUUUUUGUAUGGGAUCCAGGAAUACGUUCCAAGUACAUAUCUCUAAGAAACUAUACAGUGAACAUUGCGGCGGUACUAUUGUUGGGAUCUACUGGCGAGUUUUACUUCAUUAGAUAUGCUAACUCUAUGACUCAAGUAUGGGAUCUUGUACGGAAAUUGGGUAUUCAUUCAUCCCGUUUGCUAACUAGUUUUGCAUUAGCAGUUGCUAGAUGUGGUGCCGAUGACUUCAUUAUUUUUAUACUACAAUCUAUUUUAGAUCCUAGUAACAGAAUUAUUGAGUUCAAUGCCCGAUUCCUCAUUGUGUUAUUUUGCUGCACUACAUACUUGUAGCUUGACUAUGAUGGAAAAUGUAUUUUUUUAGAUGAUAUAAAAGUUGAUUUGAUGAAAAUAGCUUCAAUUGUUGUUGCUGAUGUUGUUCAUAGAACAAUGAUAAUUGAAGGUAAAGGCACUUUUAUCUUGGUUGGUCCUAACAUUAGACUUGGAAAGUUUACAACUACUUGAAUGCUUAUGUGUUAUCUUGCCUAUUUUGGUGGCUGUACAAGCAUUGCAGAGUACAGUAGGGACCAACAAAUUAUUGAGUCAAAUCUAGUGCUUGAACUAAUUAGCAAUGCAAAAACAUUACAAACGGACAAUUCAAGUUGUUGUAUAUUUCUGGAGACUCGGGUUGGCAAGUCUAGAAGAGUAUCUAGUGCAGAAAUGGGAGCGUUCCUCCUUGAAAGAUCUCAAGAAUUAUUAUGUUUAAUUCUUGAACAGAAGCAUCAAUGUUUCUAUCUUCUCUAUGCAGUACCCGCGGAGAUGAAGAAAAAGUGUAGGUUGGGGGAUCCUGAAUCAUUUGACUACCUCAAUCAGUCUUAUCGCUAUGAAUCAGUAAGUGUUACUGGUGCUCAUGGCUCCCUUGGUGUACAAAGAAGAAUUGGCAAAGGGCACUGGAAUUGAUUCAUCAAAUCUAAGGUUGAAAGACAUUGGUCAGCUCUUGACGCAUGUUCGAGUCGUGACAGAUUCACUAACAUAAUGUUAGUGUGGCUCUAUUUGAACCUUGAGGACAAGGUUCUUUUUGAGAGCGGGAGUAUUGUUGUAAACCAGGAUAACUCAAAUGAUAUGUAUGGGCUAGUUAUUUGGACAGAGGCUGUUGGGCCAGUGGCUAAAUUGUGAAGAGGCCCAAGAAUCAGAAAGCCCAACAAGAGAUUUAUCUGGGAUCCGGGUUAAGGAAGUAUGCGACGAAGUGAGUAAAAGGGGCCAUCGUCUGGGUUUGGAGGAUUAGGCAAAUGUUACGUGAAAGCUCUGUACUUCUCAUCUCUUUCUGUCCAAGCUUCUCAUCUCCUUCUUCCAUGGUGUAUUUCUAACUUCGCAUCCCUUCUGUUAUCCUGCAGUUAUCCUUUUUACUAUUUCAUUGCAAAUUCCAGUUGAUUGUAAUUCAAUUUAGUGAAUCAAUAUAGCCAGUUGGUUUGGUCGAUAUUUGGUUUA
Molecule: non-coding RNA, 3658 nt
Organism: Nicotiana tabacum (common tobacco)
Lineage: Eukaryota; Viridiplantae; Streptophyta; Magnoliopsida; Solanales; Solanaceae
Source: RefSeq, a predicted model, not a curated record